CACGAAAUCAUGUGAGCUAAUCUGCUUAUAAAAUAUGUAGCAUAAUAUAUAAUUGAAAGUAGAUUAGGAGUGAAAGGCCUCUCAAAAAUGAUGAUAUCUUGAAGUAAACAAAAAAGAUUGAGUUUAAAGAUAGUUAUAAAGUUAUAAGAUUUUAUAAAAGAUUUAAUUAUUAGUAUUGUAAAAUAUGUUGGUAUGAAAACCUGCAUAAGAAAUAAUAUAAUAUAAAAUUAGUAUAAUUUAUUUAAUUAGUUUACGGUAGCAUAACUAUUUGAAUAAUCAUAAUGUUAAUAUAAGUAUCUAUUAGAUAUUAAUAGUGAACUCGGCAAUAAAGCUUUCAACUGUUUAUCAAAAACAUAGCCACAUGUUGCACAUGUGGUAUAUUCUGCUCAAUGAUAUUUAAAUAGCCGCAGUACCCUGACUGUGCAAAGGUAGCGUAAUCAUUUGUCUUUUAAUUGAAGUCGUGUAUGAAGGAAUGCAUGGGGGCUUACUUUACCAUUAAUAUAACUUGAAAUUACUUAAGAGGUGAAAAUGCCUCUAUAAAAAUAAUAGACGAGAAGACCCUUGAAAUUUUUAAUUAUUUUGUUGGGGCAACAUAGUAGAUAAACCUACUAAAUGUACAUGCAAUUUAUUUGAUUGAAUAAAUUACUCUAGGGAUAACAGCAUAAUUCUAAAUGAGUUUGUGACCUCGAUGUUGGAUUAGGGAACUACAACUUAAAA
RNAcentral lists this ribosomal RNA (717 nucleotides) under Torresitrachia girgarinae. Its description in RNAcentral is "partial 16S ribosomal RNA". The stretch from base 329 to 486 matches the Rfam family "Archaeal large subunit ribosomal RNA", at positions 1882 to 2091 of the family's 2987-position model. The record is from RNAcentral. Lineage: Eukaryota; Metazoa; Mollusca; Gastropoda; Stylommatophora; Camaenidae.